GCACUGCUGAGGAGCCCCACAAUAGGGUAAAACGGCCGUCCAGUGC
Molecule: non-coding RNA, 46 nt
Organism: Schistosoma mansoni
Lineage: Eukaryota; Metazoa; Platyhelminthes; Trematoda; Strigeidida; Schistosomatidae
Source: Rfam